Molecule: long non-coding RNA, 1518 nt
Filed under: Mus musculus (house mouse)
Lineage: Eukaryota; Metazoa; Chordata; Mammalia; Rodentia; Muridae
Description: predicted gene 15328
Source: RNAcentral
UUUUUUUUUUUUUUUUACCCCAUAGACAUGUUUGCAAGAAAUGGGAAUAUUCUCAUUUUUAAACUUGUUUUGACAGUCAAUAAUAAACAUUUGCAUUAAAAGUAAAUUUAUUAAAAGCAGAUGAAAUAUAAAUCUUCUUAGAAAAGCUUGAGAGCAGGCAAGGAUCAACUUAUAGGAGGGACUUUUGGAGAGUCGAGUCAUUCAUGUCAUUCAUCAAUGAAGAGAAAGGAAGGGCAGAGUCAAGGACACAGGGGUACAACUGCCCAGUAAGGACAAAAAGGUCUUUGAGUGUGCUCUCCAAAGCAGAAGGGGCUCAGGACACCCACGGCCGAACCUCAGGAUGCUGGCAAACUUCUUAUCUUUAAUUUGCACAUGGCUUGAUAAGAGCAAGCCUGAACAGAAAGGAAGUUGCUCACCAGAUGCCUGCACCUACGCAUGUAGCAUGCUAUUCUCUGAUCCAGAACUAUGACUUCAGCACAUUGUAGAUCCCCACUCCGGCUCCCAGCAGUCACCCAUGACCUCUCCUAACUGUAUCCGUCCUAAGGUUGUCUUGUCACUUGAGUGGACACAGGUAUAUACAUUGGUGGAAGCAGGCCUUCUUGAGGCUGGGGAGAUGGCUCAGCAAUUUACAGCACUGGAUGCUCUCCAGAGGACCCAUGCUCAAUUCCUAGCACCCAUAAGGCAAUUCAUAUCUAUCUGUAACUUCAGUUCCACGGUACGUGAUGCUGCCUUCUGACCUACAUGGCUACCAAACAUGCACAGGAUGAACAGACAUACAUACAGAGAAGACGAUGGCAGACCUAGAAGAGAAGCUAUCUGUCCAAUGAGUGUAUUGGGAUUCCUUACAGGAGGAACUUGAGCAAGAGCUAGUUUGUAAGAAGCAGAUGAUUUGGGACACUGCGUCUCAAGAACAACCCUGAGGACAAUGUGUGCUUGGAGCACAUGAAGCUCAAGAAGAAGGAAGACCAAAGUGGAGUGUUUCAAUUGAGAAGAAACUACAACCCAGUGGGAGUUUAUAUGAAAACAUAUGGAUCACUGGAGGACAGGCAUGCCUGGGAGCAGCUGUUGGGAUUAUGGGGAAGGAAGCACAGUACCACCUACAGAAUAAGAGAAGAGACACCCGAUGGCUUCAGUAGGAGUUAUAAAUGUGAUGUGCCUGAUAGUAUUGAAGAAAUCGUGGGUUCUGAUGGUUUCUGCUUAGAAGAAAAAGCAUCCUCAGACUAGCAAAGAAGCAACUGUUUAGGUUGGUCAGAGGAACCUACGAAACCCAGCCUAAAGCUCCGGCUAAAACCUUAAAGGUUUAUGUCCCCAGGGAACAUGCUAUGUGUCUUUCACAACCAGUCCAGUCAUCUGCACAUUGCAAACCUGCAGACGUUCCCUCAGCACCCUGAGGUUUGCAACUUAGACUCCGGACAGCAUCUGCUGUCAUCAAUACACCAGAACCAGGUUAUCAACACAGAAAAAGUAGUGUAUUUCCUGCUUCAUAACUUUUCAAAGUGAACAUUUAAUAAAAAAAAA